RNAcentral lists this signal recognition particle RNA (300 nucleotides) under Cebus imitator (Panamanian white-faced capuchin). Its description in RNAcentral is "Metazoan signal recognition particle RNA (ENSCCAG00000014325.1)". It matches the Rfam family "Metazoan signal recognition particle RNA". From Rfam's summary of the family: The signal recognition particle (SRP) is a universally conserved ribonucleoprotein. It is involved in the co-translational targeting of proteins to membranes. Lineage: Eukaryota; Metazoa; Chordata; Mammalia; Primates; Cebidae. The record is from RNAcentral.
GCUGGCUGCGGUGGUGCAUGCCUAUAGUCCCAGCUACUCGGGAGGCUGAGGUGGGGGGAUCGCUUGAGCCCAGGAGUUCUGGGCUGUAGUGCGCUAUGCUGAGUGGGUGUCCGUACUAAGUUCAGCAUCAAUAUGGUGACCUCCCGUGCGUGGGGGACCACCAGGCUGCCUAAGGAGGGGGUGAACCGGCCCAGGUCGGAAACAGAGCAGGUCAAAACUCCCUUGCUGAUCUGUAGUGGGAUCAUACCUGUGAAUAGCCACCGCACUCCAGCCUGGGCAGCAUAGCAAGACCCUCUCUUA